UGGCGGGGGAUACCACCCAUACCACCUACCACUACCGUCCUUUUUUCAACAUUUCAUUAUUAAUUAAUCAUGAAGCAAAGAAUGUAAUGGUUUUUCAUAUUGGUUGGUUAUAAAUCUUUUGGUUAAAUAUAACAGUGAUGUUAAAGUGUACAAAGUGUUCUCAAUAAAUUAAAUAUAUCAGCCAUAACCUCCAAUGAAUGCAUUUUGGAGUAAACCAGCUCAAUUGACAUGCGAUAACAUUUUCUAAAAUCAAGUGAUCCGACCAAUACUCAUAAAAAUUGAUUGGGAAUUAGGAUAACAGUGAAGAAAGGGAUGUUUUCCAAGCUUCACCUCUUAGGAAAAUUGUGGUCAUGGAAGUAAGGACAACACAUCACUCACUGGGACCAUUCCCAUUCAAAACUAAGGACUCAAAAUUUUUGUACAUACGGAUAUAAUAGAGAGAUUAAUAGUGUAUACACUCAGAAAGGCCUAACUCGCGAAGUUAUGGCGUCGACAAUUCAUUCAUUCAAUCCUCAGCCCCCGUAGAAGGACCCCUGGACUACAAGACAGGGUCUUCGAAUGAGUCAACAUCUCAUAAGCAUUUAGUGUCAAAAUACAAGGUGAGAAGAACGAGGAGGACAACACGAGACUGAGCUACCACUAAUCAAGGACUUCCAUUUUCUAUGUGAAGGGGUUGGCCCUUGACCCUAUCGUCGUUUACUACCCUGAGGAACUCAAAUGGCCAUUAAGAUGUCCAAUCAGUCCUUUGCGGUUGAUGCACAGUCUGUUGUUGACUCUUUGCACGAAACCCUAUGUCAUGAGAAUGUAAUUAUGGAAUCGCGGAACGAAACCGCUGUUGCAGUGUUUUGUUCUGUUGACUGAUGUACUUGUUUGCAUCUGUGGGGCACACAUUUUUAAUGUUAAAAUUCGUCCGUCACCCACUGAAAAAUCAGCAAUAGAAUUAUGGAAAUGAGCUCAGUAUUUCACUUUCAGUACGUAAAUAUGAAACAAAAGAGUUGAAUUAAUGCGACGAGAUAAUGAAUUAAUACUAAAAUCAAUUUUCGUGUCAUUAGAUGCUUAACAGUGUUUGGCACUUUAGCAGUAUUCAUGGCUAAACUAAUAAAAUUCAAACUUGACGAAGUAACGACGAUUAAACUCGCUUUCUCAUGCUUCCAUUCGUCUACAAAACAUUCCUACUCAACAGCAUCACAUGGCCCGACGGAUCCAACGUACAUAAUUGCAGAACGAAUUUACUGACAUUUUAAAUAACAAUUCUUUACAAUCAUAGCUUCACUGACAUUUCAAAUAACAAUUCUAUACAAUCAUAGUUGGAAAAAUUUCAUAUAAAAAAUGUGUCUUGACAUUUGAAGGACAAGGAAAAACCUGGCCAGGUUCAGUAGAAGUGAGAGUAUCAUGAAUAGUUUUAAAAGAGAAUGUCAAAAAUCCUUUCAUAGAGGUCCUUUUCGACAAAGAAACGUCUAUUGACAUUUCUAUUCAACACGUCUAUUGUUAUUUGUCCCACAAAUAACCAAUUAUUCAGUUUACUUCAUAAUUCUGUGAUUCAACAUUCGCGUAUUGAAAAUUUCAUUUUCCUAUUUUUUGUUCUCUAGGUCAACGAAAUAACAUCUCGUAUCCUUCGCUGAUUGGUGCAACACCUUGGAAAUUAGCGCAGAUUAUGGUAAAAGCACUAUGAUCUAUGAGCCUGCUAUUUUUCGUGGCUUCCUUAAAGAGACCUUUCUCUAUCAGAACACUGCACUAUAUUUAUAAUAGAUAUUGGAGCCUCCUUACCAAGUGCUUGUAUCCAGCUGAGGACAUUAAAAAUCAUAAUCGCGUAAAAUUCGUGUAAAAAUCCAAUUUUAGUUUACAAAAAACUUGUCAUUGGAAAGUGGUAGAAAUUAACUCACAUGAAUAAUAAAUUGUAAUGACAACAUAUUCUCGUGGCAUUUUCACUCCAGACAUAUUCUAAUGUAAUUUCCAGCAUUACAAUGCUCUACCCCAAGGUAAUUUGAUUUACUUUGAAAGGAAAGGUGAAUGAACAAACUUUGAUUAAAAAUUGAUAUUUGCAAGGACUGAAAAUGAACGCCAAUAAAUUUGAAAUUCUGACGUGAUUGACAACAA
Long non-coding RNA from Diachasma alloeum, 2097 nucleotides. RefSeq lists it as uncharacterized. The transcript is spliced from 4 exons. NCBI's taxonomy places the organism in Eukaryota, Metazoa, Arthropoda, Insecta, Hymenoptera, Braconidae. The record is from RefSeq and is a predicted model, not a curated record.